GGUUAAGCGAAUGAAGCGUACACGGUGGAUGCCUAGGCAGUCAGAGGCGAUGAAGGACGUGCUAAUCUGCGAAAAGCGUCGGUAAGCUGAUAUGAAGCGUUAUAGCCGGCGAUGUCCGAAUGGGGAAACCCAGUGCAUUAAUGCACUAUCGUUUGAUGAAUUCAUAGUCAAACGAGGCGAACCGGGGGAACUGAAACAUCUCAGUACCCCGAGGAAAAGAAAUCAACCGAGAUUCCCCUAGUAGCGGCGAGCGAACGGGGAGUAGCCCAGAGUCAGCAUCGAUAUUAGCAUCAGGAGAAGGGUCUGGAAAGGCCAGCCAUAAAGGGUGAUAGCCCCGUAUCCGAAGGUGUUAGUAUCGUGAGCUCGAAGAGUAGGGCGGGACACGUGUUAUCCUGUCUGAAUAAGGGGGGACCAUCCUCCAAGGCUAAAUACUCCUGACUGACCGAUAGUGAACCAGUACCGUGAGGGAAAGGCGAAAAGAACCCCGGCGAGGGGAGUGAAAGAGAACCUGAAACCGUGUACGUACAAGCAGUGGGAGCCCCACCACCAAAGUAUUUCUGCAAGCGGUUUGACGGUUGGCGGCGCACAGCGACGCCCAACCCAUCCAAUCAAGCAGGGUGAAUACCAUCGAAUCAAGGCGCGAGGUUCAGGCCAAAUCAGGUAAAACCUGAAUCCGGUUGAAUCAAGCAAAUUGACGAAGAUGAGAGGGAUUGCCGAAGGCAAUCGCCGCAAAGUACGGAGUACUUUGGGGUGGGGUGACUGCGUACCUUUUGUAUAAUGGGUCAGCGACUUAUAUUCUGUAGCAAGGUUAACCGCAUAGGGGAGCCGUAGGGAAACCGAGUCUUAACUGGGCGUCAAGUUGCAGGGUAUAGACCCGAAACCCGGUGAUCUAGCCAUGGGCAGGUUGAAGGUUGGGUAACACUAACUGGAGGGCCGAACCGACUAAUGUUGAAAAAUUAGCGGAUGACUUGUGGCUGGGGGUGAAAGGCCAAUCAAACCGGGAGAUAGCUGGUUCUCCCCGAAAGCUAUUUAGGUAGCGCCUCGUGAACUCAUCUUCGGGGGUAGAGCACUGUUUCGGCUAGGGGGUCAUCCCGACUUACCAACCCGAUGCAAACUCCGAAUACCGAAGAAUGUAAUCACGGGAGACACACGGCGGGUGCUAACGUCCGUCGUGAAGAGGGAAACAACCCAGACCGCCAGCUAAGGUCCCCAAGUCAUGGUUAAGUGGGAAACGAAGUGGGAAGGCUUAGACAGCCAGGAUGUUGGCUUAGAAGCAGCCAUCAUUUAAAGAAAGCGUAAUAGCUCACUGGUCGAGUCGGCCUGCGCGGAAGAUGUAACGGGGCUAAACCAUGCACCGAAGCUGCGGCAGCAACAGCAAUGUUGUUGGGUAGGGGAGCGUUCUGUAAGCCGUUGAAGGUGGAUUGAGAGGUCUGCUGGAGGUAUCAGAAGUGCGAAUGCUGACAUAAGUAACGAUAAAGCGGGUGAAAAACCCGCUCGCCGAAAGACCAAGGGUUCCUGUCCAACGUUAAUCGGGGCAGGGUAAGUCGACCCCUAAGGCGAGGCUGAAAAGCAUAGUCGAUGGGAAACGGGUUAAUAUUCCCGUACUAAGGGUUACUGCGAAGUGGGGACGGAGAAGGCUAGGCUAUCCGGGCGACGGUUGUCCCGGUUUAAGCGUGUAGGUGGGUCGUGCAGGCAAAUCCGUACGACUAUAACACUGAGGCGUGAUGACGAGCCACCAAGGUGGUGAAGUAGUUGAUGCCCAGCUUCCAGGAAAAGCCGCUAAGCGAUAGGUAAUCAUUAAUCGUACCCCAAACCGACACAGGUGGUUAGGUAGAGAAUACUCAGGCGCUUGAGAGAACUCGGGUGAAGGAACUAGGCAAAAUGGUGCCGUAACUUCGGGAGAAGGCACGCUGGUGUUAGGUGAAAUGGUUAACCCAUGGAGCUGAAGCCAGUCGCAGAUACCAGCUGGCUGCAACUGUUUAUUAAAAACACAGCACUGUGCAAACACGAAAGUGGACGUAUACGGUGUGACGCCUGCCCGGUGCUGGAAGGUUAAUUGAUGGGGUAAGCCGUAAGGCGAAGCUCUUGAUCGAAGCCCCAGUAAACGGCGGCCGUAACUAUAACGGUCCUAAGGUAGCGAAAUUCCUUGUCGGGUAAGUUCCGACCUGCACGAAUGGCGUAAUGAUGGCCAGGCUGUCUCCACCCGAGACUCAGUGAAAUUGAACUCGCUGUGAAGAUGCAGUGUACCCGCGGCAAGACGGAAAGACCCCGUGAACCUUUACUAUAGCUUGACACUGAACAUUGAGCCUUGAUGUGUAGGAUAGGUGGGAGGCUAGGAAGUGUGGACGCCAGUCUGCAUGGAGCCAACGUUGAAAUACCACCCUUUAAUGUUUGAUGUUCUAACUUAGGCCCGUUAUCCGGGCUGAGGACAGUGUCUGGUGGGUAGUUUGACUGGGGCGGUCUCCUCCCAAAGUGUAACGGAGGAGCACGAAGGUUGGCUAAUCACGGUCGGACAUCGUGAGGUUAGUGCAAAGGCAUAAGCCAGCUUGACUGCGAGCGUGACGGCGCGAGCAGGUACGAAAGUAGGUCUUAGUGAUCCGGUGGUUCUGAAUGGAAGGGCCAUCGCUCAACGGAUAAAAGGUACUCCGGGGAUAACAGGCUGAUACCGCCCAAGAGUUCAUAUCGACGGCGGUGUUUGGCACCUCGAUGUCGGCUCAUCACAUCCUGGGGCUGAAGUAGGUCCCAAGGGUAUGGCUGUUCGCCAUUUAAAGUGGUACGCGAGCUGGGUUUAGAACGUCGUGAGACAGUUCGGUCCCUAUCUGUCGUGGGCGAAGGAAGAUUGAGGGGGGCUGCUCCUAGUACGAGAGGACCGGAGUGGACGCACCACUGGUGUACAGGUUGUCAUGCCAAUGGCAUCGCCUGGUAGCUAAGUGCGGAAGAGAUAACCGCUGAAAGCAUCUAAGCGGGAAACUUGCCUCAAGAUGAGUCUUCCCUGACAGUAAUGUCCUAUAAGGGGUGUUCGAGACGAGGACGUAGAUAGGCUGGGUGUGUAAGCGUAGCGAUACGUUGAGCUAACCAGUACUAAUGACCCGAGAGGCUUAACCUG
RNAcentral lists this ribosomal RNA (3106 nucleotides) under Arsenophonus nasoniae (son-killer infecting Nasonia vitripennis). RNAcentral's name for it is "23S ribosomal RNA". It matches the Rfam family "Bacterial large subunit ribosomal RNA". The record is from RNAcentral. Lineage: Bacteria; Pseudomonadati; Pseudomonadota; Gammaproteobacteria; Enterobacterales; Morganellaceae.